GACGAACGCUGGCGGCGUGCCUAACACAUGCAAGUCGAACGAAGUAAGUUGCUUCACCAAGUGUUGAAUAGCUACCCCCAAGCGCAUUUGCCAAAGGGUAAGCAAAAAGUACUAUCAAUUAAAUAAAAUGGUGAAACAAAAGAAUAGCGAAGAAGAAGCAAAUGCGCUUCACGCUAAUUCCAAGUACCAACACAAAACAAAUUCAAUGUUUGGUGAAGCAACUUGCUUAGUGGCGGACGGGUGAGUAACGCGUGAACAAUCUGCCCUGUACAAAGGGAUAGCCUCGGGAAACCGGGAUUAAAACCAUAUAACACUUAACUGCCGCAUGGUAGUGAAGUCAAAUCGAUUAAGAGGUAUGGGAUGAGUUCGCGUCUGAUUAGCUAGUUGGUGAGGUAAGGGCUCACCAAGGCGACGAUCAGUAGCCGGCCUGAGAGGGUGAACGGCCACACUGGAACUGAGACACGGUCCAGACUCCUACGGGAGGCAGCAGUGGGGAAUAUUGCACAAU
This 508-nucleotide ribosomal RNA is filed under the name uncultured bacterium. RNAcentral's name for it is "bacterial SSU rRNA". It matches the Rfam family "Bacterial small subunit ribosomal RNA", at positions 28 to 372 of the family's 1533-position model. The record is from RNAcentral.